Non-coding RNA from Picea glauca (white spruce), 119 nucleotides. The record is from Rfam. Lineage: Eukaryota; Viridiplantae; Streptophyta; Pinopsida; Pinales; Pinaceae.
GGGUGUGAUCAUACCAGUGUUAAUGCACUGGAUCCCAUCAGAACUCUGCAGUUAAGCACGCUUGGGCUAGAGUAGUACUAGUAUGGGUGACCUCUCAGCAAUUCCUAAUGUUGCACCCU